This 520-nucleotide ribosomal RNA is filed under the name uncultured Glomus. RNAcentral's name for it is "SSU rRNA". It matches the Rfam family "Eukaryotic small subunit ribosomal RNA", at positions 569 to 1086 of the family's 1831-position model. The record is from RNAcentral. Lineage: Eukaryota; Fungi; Glomeromycota; Glomeromycetes; Glomerales; Glomeraceae.
AGCAGCCGCGGUAAUUCCAGCUCCAAUAGCGUAUAUUAAAGUUGUUGCAGUUAAAAAGCUCGUAGUUGAAUUUCGAGAUCAAUUUGUCGGUCGUGCCUCGGUACGUACUGGCAUUAUUGAUUUCUCCCUUCUGAAGAACCGCGAUGUCAUUAAUUUGGUGUCGUGGGGAAUCAGGACUGUUACUUUGAAAAAUUAGAGUGUUUAAAGCAGGCGCACGCUUGAAUACAUUAGCAUGGAAUAAUGGAAUAGGACGUUUGAUUCUAUUUUGUUGGUUUCUAGGAUCGACGUAAUGAUUAAUAGGGAUAGUUGGGGGCAUUAGUAUUCAAAUUGUCAGAGGUGAAAAUUCUUGGAUUUAUUGAAGACUAACUACUGCGAAAAGCAUUUGCCAAGGAUGUUUUCAUUAAUCAAGAAACGAAAGUUAAGGGGAUCGAAGACGAUCAGAUACCGUCGUAGUCUUAAACCAUAAACUAUGCCGACUAGGGAUCGGAUGAUGUUAAUUUUUUAAUGACUCAUUCGGCGC